Molecule: ribosomal RNA, 427 nt
Filed under: uncultured bacterium
Lineage: Bacteria
Description: partial 16S ribosomal RNA
Rfam family: Bacterial small subunit ribosomal RNA
Source: RNAcentral
GUGGGGAAUAUUGGGCAAUGGGGGCAACCCUGACCCAGCGACGCCGCGUGGGUGAAGAAAUCCCUCGGGAUGUAAAGCCCUGUUGUAUGGGAAGAGCAGAAGACGGUACCAUACGAGGAAGCCCCGGCAAACUACGUGCCAGCAGCCGCGGUAAUACGUAGGGGGCAAGCGUUGUCCGGAAUUACUGGGCGUAAAGCGCACGCAGGCUGAAUUAUAAGUCGGUAGUCAAAUACGGAGGCUCAACUUCCGGAUAUCUAUCGAUACUGUAAAUCUAGAGUAUGUGAGAGGGAAGCGGAAUUCCCGGUGUAGCGGUGGAAUGCGUAGAGAUCGGGAGGAACACCAGUGGCGAAGGCGGCCUGCUGGGCCUUAACUGACGCUGAGGCACGAAAGCGUGGGUAGCAAACAGGAUUAGAUACCCGAGUAGUCC